GUUCUGUUCCCCUUUGCUUCACAAUUAUUGUACUAAAUGUCGCCAAAAUUUGAUCAGUCGGAGUUAUCGUCAAAGUGAGCAAAGGAGUUCUCUACUUGCUUAUCAUCACCAUUUCAGGAGGUGUAUUUAUUACUAUCUAGCAAUAAUAGCAAAAGCUAUAAAAGUGUAUUCCUCUGACACUCCACUCGACAAAUGACCUUAUCGACUUUAGGUAAUAUUAUGCUCUCCUCUUUUUCGUCAUGCAAUGUAAUGAUUUUUUUCAUGUAAUAAUGUCAUACUUAUAUUUCUGAUCUUGAGUGUCACAAUGCCUAUAUUUCUGAUCUUGAGUAUCACAAGUAAAAACUCAUGUUAAUAUAGUUUUGUCCAACUAUUGAUGACCGUGACUGAUUGAGAACUUCCUAAAACUAAAGUUGAAGCGAAUAUGAAUAAUUUGAUCUAUGAUUAGGCAUUGAAUGCUCAAAACGUUAUCAAAAAAGAAAGAGUGAAGUUUUUCAUGGAGUGUACAUCCAUAAACAUUUUUAUUGCAGUGCAGUGGACAUCCAUACUUCGAUCUAUUGAUCAAGCAUGUCCCUCACAAAUAGAAGAUAAUUUUGAUUGUCAGGAUAAACGAUGAGUGGAUAUUUCAAUGUUGGUUAAACAUAUAGAAGAGUUUCAUUACGCAAGAGAAUAUAUGUCUUACUAGUUUUAGGUAGGUUUGCAAAUCUAUUCAUAUCUUGUUUAUGGAGAAACUUUAUAUGAAAAUGAGAAAUUUAUUCAUCAUUAUUUCAUGUGUACAUCUUCUGAAGAUGGACAUUCACCUUUAAUAUAAUAGGGAGUCAACUACUCAAAUAUUAUACUUCGUAUUUUUGGAGGAUUCAAAGUGUUUUUUUUUACUUUUUAUGUUUUUCUGGUAAUGCAAAGAUGGAUUGAUGAGUUUCAUUUGAAAUGAUUCUUUUCUUAUCGUUCAUUAAUAUAUUUCAGUUAAACAAAUGUUUGCUCUAAAUAAAAUCAUCCUGCUCUUCUGCACUUCCACUUCCUUGUCUGAGGUAACUUAUUCUCUCCAAGAGCACUGAAAUAACAUUCCUAAUUUGGGAUGAAUGAGUAAUAUCCAUUAUGGAGUAUCUUCAAGGGGAAUAAUUAAAUCUUACACGCUUUCUCUUAAUAACAUAGUUGAGUCAUUAGAUCUUCAAGAUCUCUCCGUCAUAACUUAGUUGAUUCAUAACUCUCCUUUACAAUUUUUGAAACUUAUCUCUUAUAUGAAAGAUUUUAGCAUACUGUGAUCAUUCUGUUUGUUUACUUUCUUCCCAAAGGUAACAUGAAGCUCCUACUACGUUGUUUCUAGAAUGAAAAAACUGAUUAUGUACUAUACAUCACAUUACACCGAAAACUCAUAGAGAAAUAUACAUUAAGAGCAUCUAUAUGGCGUGCUUGAAGAUAUUAAACAGUUAAUACAUAUUUUGGGUAUUAUAUCUUAUAAUGGUUGACUAUAACAAUUUGUAGAUACAAUAUUCUUUUAUCUAACAAAUGAUGUAUGCAAAAUUGGCUGAUGUGAAAAAAAUAAACGCAAUGUAUUUUCAUUUUGAUAACAUAUGUUGGUACUGUGCCUUUUGGUUAUUUUCAACAUUUAACAAUUCACGAUUUCUGAUAUCUCCACUUCACUGAUGUGAAAGAUGUUACCUUUACUACAUUUGUAGAAAGUGGUAAUUUGAGAUGAAUAAUACGUACUUUUUUGCAAGAGUAUAUGGUUAUUUACCGACUAGCUAGAUGUAUUAUAGUUUGGGACUUGUAUUAGUUAUAGAAGGUGUAUGCAAUUGUUGAACUAUUAUAAAUUUAUGUAAUUAUUACUAAG
This is a long non-coding RNA of Solanum lycopersicum (tomato), 1828 nucleotides long. RefSeq lists it as uncharacterized. Lineage: Eukaryota; Viridiplantae; Streptophyta; Magnoliopsida; Solanales; Solanaceae. The record is from RefSeq and is a predicted model, not a curated record.